This 377-nucleotide ribosomal RNA is filed under the name uncultured Chloroflexota bacterium. RNAcentral's name for it is "bacterial SSU rRNA". It matches the Rfam family "Bacterial small subunit ribosomal RNA", at positions 521 to 896 of the family's 1533-position model. Lineage: Bacteria; Bacillati; Chloroflexota. The record is from RNAcentral.
UAAUACGUAGGUGGCGAGCGUUAUCCGGAUUUACUGGGCGUAAAGAGGGCGUAGGCGGUUUUUCAAGUCGGAUGUAAAAUCUCCCAGCUUAACUGGGAGGGAUCAUUCGAUACUGUUAGGCUAGAGGGCAGCAGGGGGAGGUGGAAUUCCCGGUGUAGUGGUGAAAUGCGUAGAUAUCGGGAGGAACACCAGUAGCGAAGGCGGCCUCCUGGGCUGUUUCUGACGCUGAGGCCCGAAGGCGUGGGGAGCAAACAGGAUUAGAUACCCUGAUAGUCCACGCUGUAAACGAUGGACACUAGGUGUAGGGAGUAUCGACCCUCUCUGUGCCGAAGCUAACGCGUUAAGUGUCCCGCCUGGGGUUUACGGUCGCAAGGCUA